Molecule: RNA transcript, 2990 nt
Organism: Sinocyclocheilus grahami
Lineage: Eukaryota; Metazoa; Chordata; Actinopteri; Cypriniformes; Cyprinidae
Gene: tspan5a
Gene name: tetraspanin 5a
Exons: 11
Source: RefSeq, a predicted model, not a curated record
GGAGGGUUGAGGCGCGGCAGCUGAUUGGUUACUAGCGCUGUCAAUCAAAAGCAGCCAUGUCAAGUGAAAAAAAGAAGCGUUGAGAACUAAUUGCGGAGAAGAAGGGGCUGUUAUUUCGAGGCGCACUGUGUUAAAGUCAGCGGAUUUGUUUAUAAAUGACAGUUAGCCUUGUACCAGAUUUAGGCGCUGUUGAAGUUGCUCAGCAUUAUGUUUCUUUUAUGCAGAUAAUAGCAUUACUGGGACAGUCUGACAUCGAUGUCCUAAGAACGGAAUAAUAAACUGAACCGGCUUCGAAAUUCGCGUUUUAAGUUUGUUCUAAAGAAAACCAGCCAAAUGAUGUCAGGAAAGCAUUACAAGGGUCAAGAAGUCAGCUGCUGCAUCAAAUAUUUCAUAUUUGGAUUUAACAUAAUAUUUUGGUUGCUUGGUGUGGCUUUCCUUGGAAUCGGAUUGUGGGCAUGGAGCGAGAAGGGAGUUCUGUCUAACAUCUCCUCCAUCACGGAUCUGGGUGGAUUUGAUCCAGUGUGGUUGUUUCUGGUGGUUGGGGGGGUGAUGUUCAUCCUGGGUUUCGCUGGCUGUAUCGGGGCCCUGAGGGAAAACACCUUCCUGCUCAAAUUUUUCUCUGUGUUUCUGGGGAUAAUCUUCUUCCUGGAGCUGACCGCCGGUGUCCUGGCCUUUGUCUUUAAAGACUGGAUUAAAGAUCAGCUCAACUUUUUCAUUAACAACAACAUACGAGCCUACAGAGAUGACAUAGACUUGCAGAACCUCAUCGACUUCACUCAGGAAUAUUGGGAAUGCUGUGGGGCGUUUGGAGCAGAUGACUGGAACCUCAACAUCUACUUCAACUGCACAGACAGCAACCCCAGCCGAGAAAAAUGUGGCGUGCCCUUCUCCUGUUGCACCAAAGACCCAGCGGAGGAUGUAAUCAACACACAAUGUGGAUAUGAUGUUCGGGCAAAACCGGACGCAGAGCAGAAGACAUACAUUCAUGUCAAAGGCUGUGUGCCGCAGUUUGAGAAAUGGCUACAGGACAACCUGACGGUAGUGGCUGGGAUCUUCAUCGGCGUCGCUCUGCUGCAGAUAUUUGGAAUAUGCCUUGCACAAAAUUUAAUCAGUGAUAUUGAAGCUGUGAGAGCCAGCUGGGUGCCGCCCCCCUCUUACGUCGCCCGCCGCCCCCCGUCCCACUACAGCAAGAAAGCCUCGGCGUACUCCUGAGGGAGGUUGUCCUGUUUGUUCACAUGAAGUGGCAGCUAGUCUUGCAGACACUCACAGGCCUACGCCAGCACGAUUAAGGUAGCGAAUGAUGAACACAAGAUGCACUGGUUUGUGUGUGUGUGUGUGUCUGUGUGUGCGUUUCCACCGUAACCUUUUACCAUCUGUAAAUAGUGCUACUUUUUCUAGUGUUUUAUGUGUCAAAAUGUGUGUAAUGUGAAAAAUGAUGUGUCCACAGAGGUUUGCGUUAACCAAAAAAAUGACCACCAUUUGCAGGACUGUAAAAGCAUCACUCAAAACACUUUCCAUUACUUUGACACAAAAUAUAACAAUUGAAACCAGGGUCCGGCACGAUUGGCUCGCUAGUUCAGUAUUCAGGACAUUGGUUCACUGAACGUUUGCUCACUAAAAAUCCCCACAAUGCACUGUAAAAACCAGUGAACUAAUGUUAAAUAUCAUAUAAACAUAUUAAUAACAGCAAAUGAGUUCAUUUGGCAUAAUGACUUUAUUUUAUUAAGCUACAGUCAGUGUUAACAUCAGGCGUUUAUUUUGUUCAUCUCUCAAUCAUCAUUGUAUUGCAUUGCAUUAUACUGUAUUUUUUAAAACUACAGAGCUUUGAUCAUAAAACCAAGCAUUUAAAUAUCUGACUAAGACAUUAUUGAGAGAUACAGCGUGACAUUAUAUUUUAUGUAAGUAUUCUGUUAUAUUGUUAUAAGGAUCUCAUUGAUUUAUAUCACAAGAACUUCAUUGUUUCGGUCAUAAAAAUAUCAGAAACCGCACCAAAUUGAAUGUUUAAUGCUUUUCUCUCUUUGAAUAUGAGCUCCAUAUUCCACUAUUUCAUACUAUGUGAUCCUGAUGUAUCUAAUAUGAUACUCAUCAAAAACACAUGCUUAUUGCAUUUCAAAAAAUUUGAUUUUUUUUUUCACAUGUCUGGCUUUACAAGGUCAAUUAUUAAAAAUAUGAAUACCGACCAUAUUAAGAUUAUAUGAUAUACAUUUAGGCCUAAAUAAUAAUCCAGGAAAUUGAUUAUUUGAUCAAUUUCUGAUUAUUGAUUAUAUAAUUGAUGCUGGAAACUUUCGAGUUUGUUGAGUGGGGGGGGUGAUUAUUUGUGAGCGUCUGAAGCUCAGUCAGGGAGUUUCUCAUUGACGAUGUUUUUUUAAUUAUUCUGUUAACAUUGGUUCAUGCACUUCAGCAGUAUAUUACAUUUCACUCUCAAGUAUAAACAUCUGAAGCAAAUCUUGCAGCUUAUGUUCACUAAAACAGUCAGGAAGUCAUUCAAACAUUUAAUAUUGUCAAAUGUAUUUUUGUCCUUGCACUAACAAAUUAGAGAUCCCAGAACACUUCUUCUGCAGAUGUUUCUCUUUCACAAGCAAUUUCUGAUCAAGGCAGUAUUUUUCUGUAACGUAUGGACUAAUCAGAAGCUUGUUUGUUGUAAAUAUCCUUGAGUGAUAUCUUAGCACUUUCACAAUGCAAACGCAGUUGGAUGGUGUGACACUCUGUAACACACUACUGUAUGUAGCACUCGUGGGUAAUUGUACAUCACUAAAACUGCUUUUAACAUGGUUUAUGUCUUUUUUUCUUUUCAAUGACAUUCUGAUGUAGCUUUUACAGUUGCAAUGCAUUUCAAAUGUGUUCAUGCUUAUAAAAAGCAAGGGGAGAGGGUUUGAUCUGAAGAUGUGAUGAUAUUAAUGUUGGCGGUUAUUUAGGCUGUGUCAUACACUUACUUGAAGCUCCAGCAAUAAGAACAAACAUUUUCAAUAAAUUAUUUCUCAGCAUUGUAA